GCCCCUAUAGCCCAAUUGGCAGAGGCGGGAGACUUAAAAUCUCUGUGUUGUGGGUUCGAGUCCCACUGGGGGUACC
This 76-nucleotide transfer RNA is filed under the name Zhihengliuella salsuginis. RNAcentral's name for it is "tRNA-Leu". It matches the Rfam family "tRNA". From Rfam's summary of the family: Transfer RNA (tRNA) molecules are approximately 80 nucleotides in length. Their secondary structure includes four short double-helical elements and three loops (D, anti-codon, and T loops). Lineage: Bacteria; Bacillati; Actinomycetota; Actinomycetes; Micrococcales; Micrococcaceae. The record is from RNAcentral.